This 70-nucleotide ribosomal RNA is filed under the name Morus rotundiloba. Its description in RNAcentral is "partial 18S ribosomal RNA". Lineage: Eukaryota; Viridiplantae; Streptophyta; Magnoliopsida; Rosales; Moraceae. The record is from RNAcentral.
UUCCGUAAGUGAACCUGCGGAAGGAUCAAUGUCGAAACCUGCAAAGCAGAAAGACCAAGCGGACCCCAUU